GAUGAACGCUGGCGGCGUGCCUAAUACAUGCGAGUCGAGCGAACGGACGGGAAGCUUGCUUCUCUGAUGUUAGCGGCGGACGGGUGAGUAACACGUGGAUAACCUACCUAUAAGACUGGGAUAACUUCGGGAAACCGGAGCUAAUACCGGAUGAUAUUUUGAACCGCAUGGUUCAAAAGUGAAAGACGGUCUUGCUGUCACUUAUAGAUGGAUCCGCGCUGCAUUAGCUAGUUGGUAAGGUAACGGCUUACCAAGGCAACGAUGCAUAGCCGACCUGAGAGGGUGAUCGGCCACACUGGAACUGAGACACGGUCCAGACUCCUACGGGAGGCAGCAGUAGGGAAUCUUCCGCAAUGGGCGAAAGCCUGACGGAGCAACGCCGCGUGAGUGAUGAAGGUCUUCGGAUCGUAAAACUCUGUUAUUAGGGAAGAACAUAUGUGUAAGUAACUGUGCACAUCUUGACGGUACCUAAUCAGAAAGCCACGGCUAACUACCUG
Molecule: ribosomal RNA, 497 nt
Filed under: uncultured bacterium
Lineage: Bacteria
Description: partial 16S ribosomal RNA
Rfam family: Bacterial small subunit ribosomal RNA
Source: RNAcentral